This 432-nucleotide ribosomal RNA is filed under the name uncultured bacterium. RNAcentral describes it as "partial 16S ribosomal RNA". It matches the Rfam family "Bacterial small subunit ribosomal RNA", at positions 29 to 506 of the family's 1533-position model. The record is from RNAcentral.
AACGAACGCUGGCGGCAUGCCUAACACAUGCAAGUCGAACGAAGUCUUCGGACUUAGUGGCGCACGGGUGCGUAACGCGUGGGAAUCUGCCCUUGGGUACGGAAUAACUCAGAGAAAUUUGUGCUAAUACCGUAUAAUGUCUUCGGACCAAAGAUUUAUCGCCCAAGGAUGAGCCCGCGUAAGAUUAGCUAGUUGGUGGGGUAAAAGCCUACCAAGGCGACGAUCUUUAGCUGGUCUGAGAGGAUGAUCAGCCACACUGGGACUGAGACACGGCCCAGACUCCUACGGGAGGCAGCAGUGGGGAAUAUUGGACAAUGGGCGAAAGCCUGAUCCAGCAAUGCCGCGUGAGUGAUGAAGGCCCUAGGGUUGUAAAGCUCUUUUACCAGGGAUGAUAAUGACAGUACCUGGAGAAUAAGCUCCGGCUAACUCCGU